AGGGAUUGCCCCAGUAACGGCGAGUGAAGCGGCAACAGCUCAGAUUUGAAAUCUGGCCCUUUCAGGGUCCGAGUUGUAAUCUGUAGAGGAUGCUUUUGGCGACGCGCCUUCCGAGUCCCCUGGAACGGGGCGCCAGAGAGGGUGAGAGCCCCGUAUGGUUGGACGCCGAACCUCUGUAAAGCUCCUUCGACGAGUCGAGUAGUUUGGGAAUGCUGCUCAAAAUGGGAGGUAAAUUUCUUCUAAAGCUAAAUACCGGCCAGAGACCGAUAGCGCACAAGUAGAGUGAUCGAAAGAUGAAAAGCACUUUGAAAAGAGGGUCAAAUAGCACGUGAAAUUGCUGAAAGGGAAGCGCUUGUGACCAGACUUGCGCCCGGUUGAUCAUCCAGCGUUCUCGCUGGUGCACUCUGCCGGGUUCAGGCCAGCAUCGGCUCUCCCAGGGGGAUAAAGGUCGCGGGAACGUAGCUCUCUCCGGGGAGUGUUAUAGCCCGUGGCGGAAUGCCCUUAGGGGGGGCCGAGGCUCGCGUUCGCAAGGAUGCUGGCGUAAUGGUCACCAGCGACCCGUCUUGAAACACGGACCAAGGAGUCAAGCAUUAGGGCGAGUCUUUGGGUGCAAAACCCGCAGGCGCAAUGAAAGUGAACGGAGGUGAGAGCUUCGGCGCAUCAUCGACCGAUCCUGAUGUUCUCGGAUGGAUUUGAGUAAGAGCCUUACCGCUUGGACCCGAAAGAUGGUGAACUAUGCCUGAAUAGGGUGAAGCCAGAGGAAACUCUGGUGGAGGCUCGCAGCGGUUCUGACGUGCAAAUCGAUCGUCAAAUUUGGGCAUGGGGGCGAAAGACUAA
Molecule: ribosomal RNA, 837 nt
Filed under: Distoseptispora chinensis
Lineage: Eukaryota; Fungi; Ascomycota; Sordariomycetes; Distoseptisporaceae
Description: Distoseptispora sp. XT-2021b partial large subunit ribosomal RNA
Rfam family: Eukaryotic large subunit ribosomal RNA
Source: RNAcentral